This 890-nucleotide ribosomal RNA is filed under the name Eucasphaeria capensis. RNAcentral describes it as "LSU rRNA". It matches the Rfam family "Eukaryotic large subunit ribosomal RNA", at positions 44 to 960 of the family's 3401-position model. Lineage: Eukaryota; Fungi; Ascomycota; Sordariomycetes; Hypocreales. The record is from RNAcentral.
CAAUAAGCGGAGGAAAAGAAACCAACAGGGAUUGCCCCAGUAACGGCGAAGUGAAAGCGGCAACAGCUUCAAAUUUGAAAUCUGGCCCCCGCGGUCCGAGUUGUAAUUUGUAGAGGAKGCUUUUGGCGCGGUGCCUUCCGAGUUCCCUGGAACGGGACGCCAUAGAGGGUGAGAGCCCCGUCUGGUUGGACACCAAGCCUCUGUAAAGCUCCUUCGACGAGUCGAGUAGUUUGGGAAUGCUGCUCUAAAUGGGAGGUAUAUGUCUUCUAAAGCUAAAUACCGGCCAGAGACCGAUAGCGCACAAGUAGAGUGAUCGAAAGAUGAAAAGCACUUUGAAAAGAGGGUUAAAUAGUACGUGAAAUUGUUGAAAGGGAAGCGUUUGUGACCAGACUUGGGCCCGGUUAAUCAUCCAGCGUUCUCGCUGGUGCACUUUGCCGGCCCAGGCCAGCAUCAGUUCGCGCCGGGGGAUAAAGGUUUCGGGAACGUGGCUCCCUCGGGAGUGUUAUAGCCCGUUGCGCAAUACCCUGGUGCGGACUGAGGUUCGCGCUCCGCAAGGAUGCUGGCGUAAUGGUCAUCAGCGACCCGUCUUGAAACACGGACCAAGGAGUCGUCUUCGUAUGCGAGUGUUCGGGUGUCAAACCCCUACGCGUAAUGAAAGUGAACGCAGGUGAGAGCUUCGGCGCAUCAUCGACCGAUCCUGAUGUUCUCGGAUGGAUUUGAGUAAGAGCAUACGGGGCCGGACCCGAAAGAAGGUGAACUAUGCCUGUAUAGGGUGAAGCCAGAGGAAACUCUGGUGGAGGCUCGCAGCGGUUUCUGACGUGCAAAUCGAUCGUCAAAUAAUGGGCAUGGGGGGCGAAAGACUAAUCGAACCUUCUAGUAGCUGGUUCCGC